AACGGUUCAUUAAUGUUUUUAUACACGUAGAUCAAGAUUUUAAUUUUUGAAAAAUGCGAAUCAUACAGAAUAUUAGAGAAAAGACUUACAAGAGAUCAUCUGCAUGGUGCAAAGCUGUAGUAUCGUAACCAUUGUUAAAAAAAAAGUUCAUAAUAUUUAUAAGAAAAUUUAAAUAUUUUUGAAUUAAUUAUAAUAAUUGGAACUCAUGAAAAUAAAUAUGAAUGUUACACAAAGAAAUAAUCUUAAAAUUUUAAUAACCUUUUUCAUAAAACAAAUUUGAAGAUAUUUUUAUCAUUUUAGAAAGAAAAAAAUUAUAAUAUAAGUUAAUAUUUAAAAAGAAAACUAAAAAUUAGUGUGAAUAAUCUCAACCAAUUAUAAUUUAUUUUAUUAAAAUUAUCUGGCAUAGAGAACCCUCCAAAAAUCUGCCAUCUUCACAGCUAGGUUCGUAAAAUUGGAUUUUAGGAAAGUUCUGUUUUUUUUUUUUUUUUUUUUGUCAACUUAGGAAAGUUCUGUUUAUUUUUUUUUUUUAAAUCAGAAGACGCCGCCAGCAUUUUAUUUCUACAAAACCGCGUAUUUGUAGAAAAGAAAGAAGUUCACGAAGUUUGACACUUCCCCGUGAAUAAAUUCAAUACACAAGUGUGCUUUUGUGUGAUUCAAUCUACUAUAUAUACAGUUGGGGUCUAUGGCAAUUGAGAGAAGAACAAACUGACAAUGAAGAAAACAACACAAACUUCUUUUUUUCUCCUACGUUUGCUGCUUCUUAUAUGCCUAGUCUUUCAGGUUUGUGUCACAGAGGCUAGAUUCCGCCAUCUAGGCGAGGAACGGAUUGGCAGUUUUCCCUCCCGUUCACGUAAAGGCAAAAUCGGGCGGAGAUAAUAAGCUACGGUGGCACGUAGAGGUGCUCCUAGGGGAAGUGAAGUUACGGGAAUAAUGAAACUGGCAUUGUCAAACAGGUCGCGGACCUCCCCGUGUUCAUUCCAAAUAAAUUGUUUUACGCUUUGCUAAGGAUUAUCGCUUAAUUGAGACUUUUUUUUUGUUCACUUGAGGCAUUUUCUAUUCUCUUAUAAAAAUCAUGUGUACAUGGUAAAAAUAAAGUUUACAGUAAUGUUUUUCAUCAAAACAA
Molecule: long non-coding RNA, 1123 nt
Organism: Brassica rapa (field mustard)
Lineage: Eukaryota; Viridiplantae; Streptophyta; Magnoliopsida; Brassicales; Brassicaceae
Source: RefSeq, a predicted model, not a curated record